UAAUGGUUGUUCAUCAUACAAAAUGCAGGUGUUACAGUUUUAAGCCUGCUAUUAUCUCAGACCAUAACAUAAAAAAGAAACAGAAGAUACAUCCCUACAGCUAAAGGCAGAGAUAGGGUACCUACUAUGCUGUAGCCGUUAUUUCAUUUGUUCCUACUUCUUCCUGUUCUAACUCCUUAACUGCUCUUAUGAGACCCUUUGUGAUUGCAUUUAGAUGCACCCCAUUCUCCUUCAUCUCCUCAAGCAGUUUCUCUGCUGUUGUCCAAUCUAAAGCCUUAAGGCAUAGAGAUUGAAUAAAUUUGUUAUAUUCAUCCGCAUUAGGCUGAACUCCAUACUCCUUCAUAUCUCCCAAUAGUUCCAGAGCCUUGUCAUACUGUUCGAGCUUGAAAUAGCCCCGAAUAAUUGUGUGAAAAGUGACGGGACUUAGACAGGAGUGCUUCUUUUUGGCUUCAUUCAAAAUCUUGCAGGCCUCCUCCAUCUCACCUCCCUUUGUAUAACCACUCAUGAUUACACUAUAAGUGUACACAUCAGGUUUCAAACCUCUACCCUCCAUCACCUUCAAUAGUUUCCUAGCUUCUCCCAUUUCUCCCUUCUUGGAGAGCGCAUUAAUAACUGUAUUAAAGACUGCAUUGCCAGGUGGUGGACCUGCAUCUAUCAUUUUUAAGAGCAAGUUUUUGGCCUCGUCAAUGUCUUCACUGCAAUAGGAACGCAGCUGCUUUUCCCCUGUUACAUCAUUUGCCCUACACAGCCCAUUGAUGACAUGUGAGAAUGACUUAAUGGCAUGCUUCCGCUCUUCUUUGGGGAACUCAUCCAACACCUCCAUUGCAAGUUUAACGCCUUCAUCUUUGCGACAAAGAGAGCUGAUCAACAACUUAAUAGAAGAUACAGGCAGAUUAAUAUUUUUCUCCUUUGCCGACAAAUAAACCAGAUGUGCAUCUCUACACUUAUUUCCUUUACACAGAAAAGAAACAAUCUUUCCAACUUUCUCAGCACCAGGCAACUUAUCAGCAUUAAGCAUCUUCUCACAAACAGUAGAAGCCCAAUCAUAAAUCGAUCGCCUAGAAAGUGCUUCAAUGGUAAAAUAGUAUGUAUCAGCAUUUGGUGCACAUCCUAAAUCCCCAAACUUAUUGAAGAUCUCAAAUGCAGCCUUUCCUUUACCUAAUCUCGACAAUAAAGCAAUCAAUUCAUUAAGAAUCUCAUCACUCAAUAUUCCCUUGUUCUUUUCUCCAAUCUCCUUCACCAAAUCCCAUAAAGCAUAGAUAUUCCUACCUUGAAUGCAGAUUGCAGUAACCAACAAUUCAACUGCCUUACUCGUCACGACAAACUCGGGUUUCUUCAAAACCCACUUGAAAAACGAAAUCAAAUUCUCCCCAGGAACAUAAGGCGUCUCAAGCACUCUAACAACCAACUCCUCAUUCAAAGACAACUCAAUUUCCUCAAGACUAGACUCAAUAGAUCCGUCAAUAAUACCACUACUCUGCAAUAAAGACAACAAAGUCUCCAAUUUCUCCAAAUCUAAAUCCUCAUCUUCCACUACAACCUCAGUAUUUCCUAAAUCAGACCCAUUUUCAACUGCAAGGGUAUCAUCAUUAAGAACAGAGGACCCUUCAACAACAACUCCAAAAACAGAGUCUUUAUCAUUUUCAAAGGGGUGAGAACCUAGAGAUUCGGAUUGUUCAGAUUGGUUCGAUGAGAAAAAUCUUGUUGUUUCACAUAAAUAAGAUUUGGAAGAAACACAAUGAGAAUAAUAACGAAAUGAAGAUUCAAAUGUACUCACUGGAGCUAAAGUUUGAUCUCUGGAUACUUGAUGAAGAAAAGCAGUAAAGGCUCGGUUUUGGAGACCACAAAAGCUUUUCUUUGCUACAACACUACUCAGAACCGCUG
This 1884-nucleotide unclassified non-coding RNA is filed under the name Hevea brasiliensis (rubber tree). The record is from RNAcentral. Lineage: Eukaryota; Viridiplantae; Streptophyta; Magnoliopsida; Malpighiales; Euphorbiaceae.